GAUGAAGAACGCAGCGAAAUGCGAUACGUAGUGUGAAUUGCAGAAUUCAGUGAAUCAUCGAGUCUUUGAACGCACAUUGCGCCCCCUGGUAUUCCGGGGGGCAUGCCUGUCCGAGCGUCAUUGCUGCCCUCAAGCACGGCUUGUGUGUUGGGCCCCCGUCCCCGGUUUCCCCCGGGGACGGGCCCGAAAGGCAGCGGCGGCACCGCGUCCGGUCCUCGAGCGUAUGGGGCUUUGUCACCCGCUCUGUAGGCCCGGCCGGCGCCAGCCGACACCCAACUUUAUUUCUAAGGUUGACCUCGGAUCAGGUAGGGAUACCCGCUGAACUUAAGCAUAUCAAUAAGCGGAGGA
RNAcentral lists this unclassified non-coding RNA (348 nucleotides) under soil metagenome. RNAcentral's name for it is "partial contains 5.8S ribosomal RNA, internal transcribed spacer 2, and large subunit ribosomal RNA". The stretch from base 1 to 120 matches the Rfam family "5.8S ribosomal RNA", at positions 35 to 154 of the family's 154-position model. The record is from RNAcentral.